UGCAUCUAUUGAGAUGCUGAUUUUGAUUUUCCUUGUAUCAUCCUGCAGAAAUGACAGAAAAUCUGAUAGUUUUAACAUGUUCUUCGAACACUUUACAUUGCAUUAAAUGCUUUACAUUGAGCAGGAAUGUUUUUUUCUCUGCAAACUCUUCAAUGACGCAUUUCCUGCAGCAGAUAGCCAUCAUAGACCAAGGAGGUAUCUGCAUUUACAACCACAUAUACUCAUACUACAUGUAUGAGUAAUGCAGAUACACAUUAGAGAAAUAUGUUCAUACCGUGUCAUUGCACGUUCCCCCUGAGGUGUUGGAUUUAAGUCAUCUGGAGAUAAUUAGUGUGUUGUACCUAAAAUCAGACAAAUGCGACGGUCAGAGAGCGGUUGAGAUCAAACUUUACGUUUUAGGGACGUUGUUGUUAUAGGAACACCAAAUAGCAGUGCCAUUAAUUUGAAUCUAAUUUUGGAGUUUUAAAAACUUAACAUUUCGAGAAAUUAUGAGACAUCAUCCAGCUGCUGGUAUAACUUAUGGAUACUUCAUUUUUAUUUGAAAUGCCAGUGCUCAUUUAAAUGAAUAUGGUUUUUGGUCAUCCAUACAUUUUCAAUAGAGAUUAUUUUCUGUUUGAGCAGAAGUUGAUUUGAUAAAUCGACAUAUUCUGAGGUAGCUCUUUACUUUUAUUUUGAAAAUGAAUUCAAAACAUGUGCAGAUGAUUCUGUUUAAAAAAAAAGUUAAAAUGCACCCAACGUUAUGGUAAUCAUCUUCAUAAUGUGUACGUAACUUUAGUACCUCAUAUAAUUAAAAAAAUGAAUAUUUUAGAUAUCACCUCCUCUCACAAACCCACACAAACAGAAGCAACCUUUACCACAGACGACGUGCGAACAGAGUUCACCUUUUCACACCUGCAUCGGUUCAUCUUCGCUUCAAACACCAGCACCUCAACGGGGCUUUCAGUUUUAAAAAGUUCAACAAAUAUCUUACAGAGCAACACUGAAAACAAGAAGAAGCGCUAGCUGAAUCUUUUUUUUUUUUUAGUGAAUCAAAAUCCAAAACACAGAUGAUCAUUUUCUGGAAGUUCAAAGCAGAUUUUUGACCAAGUGUUCUCAGUAGAUCUACAGAUGAAGUUAAUAAAAGUCCCGUCUGACUAAAAUCUGGGUGGUGGGGGAAUUCAAUUUGGAGCCCAACUUUCAGGGAACAUUACGGAUGUCUUUGUCUAUUUGAUUAACCGUUUUCCUCUUGAUGUGUUCGUGCACAUGACACAUUUUUUUUUUUUUUGAAACAGGUCUAUUUUGACAUUUAAUUUUACCCUCCAGAGUUCAGGUUGGGUUUUUUCUGCGUAAAUCUCAAACAAUUUCAAGGAUUUUAACAAUUUAAAUGGCAGUUUAAGAUUAUUGCUGGACUUGCUUUUUUUUUUUCUUUCUUAGAUAUGUGAAAGAUGAGGCAAAAUAUUGACUUUGAUUCACUUUUUUGUAUAGCAUUUGAUUUAAUAUUCAGAUCAAAUAUUAAAUAGUAGGGUGUUGAAUAUUUAAAUGCCACUUUGAUUACGUGAUGCUAAUAUUUAAACCGGUAUUAAAAGGGCUGAAAGCCUCCAAAUUGUCAAAUAUUUGUUAGUUUUUAGAUGGUCUAAAUGCAUUAAUCCAUACAGUUUUGCAACACUUUUUUUUUUAUUUAAAUUUUAAAUAAACACCUCGAAGUUAAGUUGCAGCAAUUGUGGGGAAACGUAGGCAGGACUUUCGUAACAUCCGUUUCUGCAGCUGCAAGCAACAGAACGGUACAUCACGUUCCACAUCUGACACAACAUUUGGGGUUACACUCUGUUUACUGUAAACACAAAAACACCGUUUGACUGAGCCGUGUGACGGAGCUACAGGAGUGGCGUGACAAGUAAAAAGCCUAUACCACUCAAACAAAAACUGUAACAGAAGCCGCUCUCAGGAUGAAUAUCACCUUCUGCUUGCUGAAUCCAGACUCUCAUUCUGACUCUGCGUGGUUAGCGUGAUGCUAACCGUAUAUCGCGGUUGGCGUGAUGUCAAGCUCGGUAUGACUUCAUUAAUUUACAACAAAAGCAUCAUUGUGAAAUGAAAACUAAACUACAAGUAAGGGAAGAUAUUUACAUAUAAAAGUAAUUCAGUCAGUAUGAGAACAUAAUGGUUUAAAGUCUUUAUUGAAGCAAACUCUGCUAUCAAUGCAGAAAGUUAUAGAAACUAAAAUGGCUCAAUGUGUUUAGUUAGGCUAGCUAUUAUAUACUGCUAUAUUAAACAGAUUUAAGUGUUUAGUGGUGUUAGAUAUUUAAAACAGUAAUAAUCACUAAAGCUCUCUCCACAAGUGUAACACUGAAGUGAGAAACUAUUUAACAUAUUGAUUACAGCAAGUAACCUGGAUACAGUAUUUGAUUAUAUCGACUAGGUUAUGUUGUCUUGGUGAUUAGGUUUUUUUAAUAGAGUAGUAAUAUUGAUUUUAAUACACGUUUAUUUCACAUUUGUUGAAAUAUUUGCCACAUACAAUAUUUGACUCAUACAUACAAUAAAUGUAUGAGUCAAAGAUUUACUGAAACCAAACUAAAUAAAUAUUACCAACAUUUUUUAAGUGUAUAAAUCGCCGUAGGUUGACCGGCGUACAUUACAUUUCCAUAGGUUGAAUUCAAUGAACAAAGUAAAAAGAUUAGAGGAACUAUAAGUCACAGUUUAACAGCUGCUGGUAAAUCUCCUGCAGUGGUUUAAACAUUUCAGUCUAAAAGGCUAUUUUUUUUUAAAACAAACAAAAAACAUUUUGACAAAUGAAGUUGCACAACUCAACUUACAUCCUGAGGUGUUCUGAUAGUAUUUUUCAUUAAAAUACCCCUUUAAACCACAGGAAUCAUUUCUAUAUGAAAGCUACGACUCCUCAAUGAAGCGCCAAUUAGAUAUUUCUAUAUAAUCCAAGUUUUAUGGUUUCUUUAAGUAGAUAUUUAACUUUUUUUUGUAUAAUGUUAUACUUUUUAGUUGUUAUACUACAUCGUAAUAACAAAAUAUGUUAUCGAAAGAUAUUUUACCGUUUUCACUUCGAGGCUGUUUACCAUCCAGGUUGUUUUUAUUUUUUGUUAUUGAAUUAAAACUAAAUCAAAAAACGUGGUUAACAAACUAUACAUAAAUAAUUACAAUAAAUCAAAAGAUUUCAAGCCACCAUUCGUUAAACUCAUUUUUCCCCCGACAGGGUAGAGAAACCCACCCAUGCAUGCUAACUGCACCAUCACAAACAUCCAGCAACAACUUACACCAAAAAUCGUACAUUA
Poecilia latipinna (sailfin molly) is the source of this 3260-nucleotide long non-coding RNA. RefSeq lists it as uncharacterized. The record is from RefSeq and is a predicted model, not a curated record. The transcript is spliced from 2 exons. Lineage: Eukaryota; Metazoa; Chordata; Actinopteri; Cyprinodontiformes; Poeciliidae.